AGAGUUUGAUCAUGGCUCAGAUUGAACGCUGGCGGAAUGCUUUACACAUGCAAGUCGAGCGGCAGCGCGGGGCAACCUGGCGGCGAGCGGCGAACGGGUGAGUAACAUAUCGGAACGUAUCCAUAAGUGGGGGACAACCUAGCGAAAGUUAGGCUAAUACCGCAUACGCAGGGAACUGGAAAGUGGGGGACCGCAAGCCUCACGCUUUUGGAGCGGCCGAUAUCAGAUUAGCUUGUUGGUGAGGUAAAGGCUCACCAAGGCGACGAUCUGUAGCUGGUCUGAGAGGAUGAUCAGCCACACUGGGACUGAGACACGGCCCAGACUCCUACGGGAGGCAGCAGUGGGGAAUUUUGGACAAUGGGGGCAACCCUGAUCCAGCCAUUCCGCGUGAGUGAAGAAGGCCUUCGGGUUGUAAAGCUCUUUUGUUCGGGACGAAACGGUUUCACCUAAUACGUGAGACUACUGACGGUACCGGAAGAAUAAGCACCGGCUAACUACGUGCCAGCAGCCGCGGUAAUACGUAGGGUGCGAGCGUUAAUCGGAAUUACUGGGCGUAAAGCGUGCGCAGGCGGUUUUGUAAGCCAGAUGUGAAAUCCCCGGGCUCAACCUGGGAAUGGCAUUUGGGACUGCAAGGCUGGAGUAUGGCAGAGGAGACUAGAAUUCCUGGUAGCAGUGAAAUGCGUAGAUAUCAGGAGGAAUACCGACGGCGAAGGCAGGUCUCUGGGCCAAUACUGACGCUCAUGCACGAAAGCGUGGGGAGCAAACAGGAUUAGAUACCCUAGUAGUCC
RNAcentral lists this ribosomal RNA (788 nucleotides) under uncultured bacterium. RNAcentral describes it as "bacterial SSU rRNA". It matches the Rfam family "Bacterial small subunit ribosomal RNA", at positions 8 to 796 of the family's 1533-position model. The record is from RNAcentral.